RNAcentral lists this long non-coding RNA (5593 nucleotides) under Sus scrofa (pig). RNAcentral's name for it is "lncRNA (ENSSSCG00050028202.1)". The record is from RNAcentral. Lineage: Eukaryota; Metazoa; Chordata; Mammalia; Artiodactyla; Suidae.
UACGCCCACCAAGGCAACAUAACAUCCAGACAGCAACCCCAAGGGCAAAGUGAGGAGGAUUUUCUGAUUAUGUCAUCAAACAGGAAACCUCAUGGAGACUCUGGGAUUAAUGUAUUUUCCACUGGAGCUGAAAGCAGGCAGGAUAUAGUCACUGGAAGAGAGAGAGGGAGGGGAAAGUGCUGGUAGGGGUGGAGGUGGUGUCUUUAAUAUGACAUUUAAAGAAAUCACUCAUGUAUUCACAUCUAAAGCCUCCAAGCAAAUAAAGACUUUGAAACUUCAGUUGACUGUGGUAAUAAGCAAAUUGCAGAGGCAUGGGGUACGCACCCCACAAAGCGCUUCUCUAAACCAUGGCACCAUUCUUGCUCCAGAUGGCAUGGAAAAUAAUUUAUAAAUGACAAAAGUUCAUUGGGUGUGUGGCAGCUGUUCAUUUCGAGCUCUUUGGCCACCCACUUCAGUAGAACUGAGAGCUUUCAAUCAACUCUUGUCUCUCGGAGGGACUUCAAACAGCAUCAGAACAUGUGUACAAUAUGUUCUCACAAAGUCGCUGGCCAAAUAUGAAAGAUUACAAAAUCAAGUUAAAUCGAAAUGGAAAAUACAAAUAUAUACCAUUUUCUCUGAAUUCUGUGAUACCAAGCAUGGGCUAGCAAGGGACUCGAGUUUUCAAAACCAAACUUUGCGUGGUCUUUCUUUUUUGUCCCCUUCACAUGUACUCACAGCUUCCUUUCCCAUCAAAUGAAAAGUACCUCACAUUUUGGCAGGUAUUUUAAUGGGAGUCAACACCACACUUCAUCGACUCCAACAGCCCCUUACAUUAACAAAGCGCUCCAGCUUAGCCAUGAACCAACUGCUACUUUGAAACAGGCCAUCAUCCACUUAAUCCUUCUGUUCUGAGCCUCCAAACAAAGCCCACAAAUUCUAAAGGACCACCAAGUCGCAAAAUAAAUAUUUCUGCCCGUUUAUUUGGGAAGGGUGGCUUGAUUGCUAUUCAAGUCUGGAUAAAUCAUUGACCAAAACAGAAAGGGGAGUAGAAAUGAUUAUAUUAACUUAAUUAUUGGAGUUACUUCAAACCAAAGUGAAUCAUAAUGACAAAGAGAACCUAAACAAUUUGGCAAAAGAGCCACUUCCAAGCAUGGCAACCACAAGAGGUAAAGUGACCAUUUAGGCAGGGAAAAUUUUUAGGCGAGUAAACAUUGUAAAGCCAUCUGCCGGACAGACUCGUCAACACGCACUGACCACAGAGGCUUUCCAAGGGUUAAGGUGACCAGGUUGGAACCGGAUAGACUGUGGAAGGAUGAUGAACAGACGACACCCUUUUGUAAACUACCUAACACAGGAAACGAAGAUCUUAUCACUGUAGGCACCAGCCCAACCACUCACUCCUGCUUCUGUCCUCUCCAAAUAGCAUUCUCUUCACUGAGGAGGCUUGCUAAGGCCUGGGAGGUAGCUCUCCCGAAUAAUAUGUCUGGGGUCUGGUGGGGGGAAAAAAAAUCGUACUGAGCUAACCUACAGCAAACAAUUUUAGGUGAAAAUUUUAACAAUCAAAAAAGAUUUUGUGAGGACCUGUCAUGGCUCAGCAGUUAGUGAACCUGGCUAGCAUCCAUGAGGACAUGGGAUCAAUCCCCAGCCUCACUCUGUGGGUUAAGGAUUCUGGGUUGCUGUGAGCUGUGGUGUAGGUUGCAGAUGCGGCUCGAAUCCCACGUUGCUGUGGCUCUGGUGUAGGCCAGCGGCUACAGCUCCGAUUUGACCCCAAGCCUGGGAACCUCCAUAUGCUGUAGAUGGGGCCCUAAAAAGAAAAAAGACCAGAAAAAAAAAAAAAAAGGAAAAAAAAAAAGAUUUUGAAGAACAUCAAUACCAUUUAGAAACAAGUGUCCUUCAAGUUCAUAUUCAGUUUCACAUAAGCCCUUAGAGCAUGCCUGUCCAGUUUAUUACGAUUCAGAUAAUGGUGCAGCUUAUGAAUUAUCUUUUAUACGUGGCUCUACUCGUUCAUCUAGAAAUGCAAAACACAAGAGUUAUCAAAAGUUGGUCAAAUAUUGUACGCCUGGAGGGAGUAACAUCAGGACAAACAUUAAAAAUCCAGUCAUUUUCUCUUUUUUAAAACAUGUUUUCUACACUUUCCAGCUGUUACAAGGGAUGAAAAAUCAGAAAUGCAGAGUUUUCUUUUCAAAUAGUAAAGGCGUCUGGACACCUACCCAGAGUUGAGCAGUAGAUAGAUCUGGCAAAUGUUAAAAUUAUUCUGAAGAUACUGUAAGGAUUACAUUUCAUAUCCAACAAAUUUUAUUCGCUGUGCAAAAUAUCUGUAGUUAAACAAAUUAUUCCAAACUUGGGACUGAAUACACUCAAUAAAGCUGUCAAAGAACAAGGAUCCGUUGUCUCUUUUCUCUGCCUCAAGGAACUUGGACAGACAGCCACCAGUCUGCUGAACUCUCUGUGGACCUCAAGGGUGAAUUUCUGUAGGACAAUCUCUAGACUGCAAAAUGAGCUUAAACAAGUGGUUCUGUAACUUUAGACUCCCUAUGUUAGGAUAUUACACUGAAUUCCAAGUUUGAGUCUGGGGCUGCUUCAUACCAAGUCCACUCGCCACAGAUACAACCCAUCAAAAGCAGCAGUGCAAGGUAGUCAAUACAAUUAGAGUAUUUUAGAAUACAUAUUCUAAAACAAGGUUAAACUAUUGUAGCCAGUGCUGUUAUAUAUGCUACAGCAAACGACAUAAUCAAGAGUUGCUUUUGUGGAACUGGAUGUUAUCUCCCUGAAUUUCCAAAGCACACUACACAUACCAGAACUUUAUCCAACAAAAUCUGGCUACAUUUUAUGGCAAUAACCCAGUUCAACAUGUUUUAAUCCAAAUAAGCAGAUUAUUAAAAGCAGAUCAUCAGUACCUGACUUUACAAUUUACCAUAACACUACAGUAAUCAAGACAGUGUGGUACUGGUGAAAGGACAGACAGCAGACCAUUGGAACAGAGAUAGACAGUGGACCAUUGGAACAGAAUGGAGAGUCCACAAAUAGACUUACACAAAUACAGUCAAAUACUGGUCGUUGACAAAGGAGAAAAGGCAACGCGUUGCAACAAGGGUAGUAUUUUCAACAAAUGUGCCAGACCUGGACACCCACAGGGAGAAAAAAAAAAAAUUAAUCUAGACUUUACAACCUUCACAAAAAUCAGCUCAGAAUGGACGACAGAGGACCUAGAUGUGGCGUUCCUUCCUGGUUCAGCAGUAAUGAAUCUGACCAGGAUCCAGGAGGACGUGCGUUGGAUCCUGGCCUCACUCAGUGGGUUGCUGUAAGCUGCGGUCUAAGAGGCAGAUGCAGCUCAGAUCUGGCAUUGCUGUGGCUGGGGUGGAGGCCAGCAGCUGUAGCUCUGAUUCGACCUCUAACCUAACCUGGGAACUUCCAUAUGCCGUGGGUACAGCCCUAAAAAGACUAAAAACAAACAAACAAACAAGCAAAAAAACAAACCCUAGAUACCUAGAUGUAAAACACAGAACUCUACAAAACUCACAGUAGAAGAUAACAGAGAAAAUCUAGAUACCUUGGGUGUGGCAGUGCCGUUACAGAUACAACCAAAGGAACAAUCCAUGAAAGGAAGAGGUGAUAACCUGAACGUCAUUAAAAUUAAAAAUCUCUGCUCUGUCAAAGAAAAUGUCACAAGAAUGAGAACAAGCCACAGACUGUGAGAAAGUAUUUGCAACAGACACAGAUGAUAAAGGACUAUUCUCCUAAAUAUGCUUAUAAUUCUUAAAACUUGGCAACCAUAAAACAACAUGAUGAAAAAAACGGGCCAAAGAUCUUAACAGACACUUCACCAAAGAUAUACAGACAAAUAAGGAUACGAAAAGAUACUCAUCAUAUGUCAAGGAAGUACAAAUUAAGGCACAUCUACUAAAAUGGCCAAAAUCCAGAACACUGACACCACCAAAUGCUGACAAGGAUGUGCACAACAGGAUCGCUCAUUCACUGCUGGCUGGAGUGCCCAACAGUACAGCUACUUUUGAAGACAAUUUGACGGUUUCCUACAAAACUGAAAAUUCUCUUACCCUACGAUCCAGCAAUCAUAGUCCUUGGUAUUUACCCUAGAGAGCUGAAUACUCAUGUCCACACAAAAGCCUGCACACAGAUCUUCAUGACAGCUUUAUUCACAACUGCCAAAACUUGGAAACAACCAAGACGUCCUUCAGUAGGUGAAUGGAUCAAGAAGCUAUGGUACAUUCCAGACAAUCAACUAUUAUUCAGUCCUAAAAAGAAAUAAGCACUCGAGCCAUGAAAAGACAUAGAGGAGUUAAAUGCAUAUUCCUUGGUGAAAGAAGCCGAUCUGAAAAGGCGACAUACUGUAUGAUACCAACUCAAUGACAUUCUGGAAAAAGCAAUGCUAUGGAGACAGCAAAAAGGCUAGUGGCUGCCAGGGGUGGGGAGGAAUCAGUAGGGGGAAGGCAGAGGAUUUUUUUAGGGCAGUGAAAAUACUCUGCAUACUAUAGUAAUAGAUACAUAUUGCGCAUUUGUCCAACCCCAAGCAAAAGGUGCAACACCAAGAACGACCUGUAAAGUAAACUAUAGACUUUGCGUGAUUAUGACAUGUCUAUGUAGGUUUAUCCUAUAGUCCCGCUCUGGUGAAGGAUGUUGAGAAAGUAGGAGACUAUGCCUGUGUGGGGCUGAGGGUAUAUGGAAAACUUCUCCAUUGCACUAUGCAACUUAAACUGCUCUAAAAAUAGUCUUAAAUUUUUACAUUUUCCUAAAGACAAAUAAAACUCUUUUCUAAAAUGUCAUGAAGAUGACUCAAGAUCAUUGUUGUCCAACAGAACUUUCUGUGAAGAUAGAAACAAUUUACAUCACUUUCAGCCUUGUCGUGACCUGCUGCUAAACACACGAAAUGGGGUUCUCAUAACUGCGGAACUGAAUUUUCAGUUUUAAAAUAAAAUCAAUGAACAUUACAUAAAUUUAAAUAGCCACAUGUGGAUAGUGACUACCAUAUGGGGCAGCCUGGUUCUAGAAAGCUCUAUCAGUAGGAAAAGAAAUGCACCCCUUGAGCUCCAAUUCGAAAAUCCAGAACAGAAGAAUGAUUUUGCAAUUAGAAUUACAGUUCAGUUUCAACAGAUCAAACAUGUGAUGGACUCUCAAUAUCUCUGCAGCAAUUACCUUAGGAAUCACUGUAAAAACUAAUAGGGGACAUUGAUCUAAAAGCUCUAUGUGUCAUUUGAUUUUAUUUGUAGACAUUUCUCAUCCAAUAUUAGGAACUGGGAAAGAAUAAGGGAAUGAAUUAUAAAAAUGGGCAUCAGGUUGCCCCAUGAGUAUUUUAGGAAGAAAAAGUUACAUUGAAACAAAUAUUCAUUUCAUUCUGUCAGUAUUAUUUGCCCCUAAUUUUAAGAAUGAGAAGAUAGAAAAGGCCUUGGUCUAGCACUUUACGAUUUGUAUUCUUAUACCUUGAUAGACAUAACAGUGGGUUGAUUUUGUCAGGUGUAAACAGUGUUUUCGCACUUUCUAUAGAAAGCGUGCCUUCGUUAUUAUUCAACUUUAAUUAAGUCAUAACACCUGAAAGAUCUGGUAGUGAGUUUCAAAUGCUACACACAGCUAACCACAGAAACAGGGCUGGAAUGUGAGC